RNAcentral lists this ribosomal RNA (1470 nucleotides) under Leuconostoc mesenteroides subsp. mesenteroides. Its description in RNAcentral is "bacterial SSU rRNA". It matches the Rfam family "Bacterial small subunit ribosomal RNA". Lineage: Bacteria; Bacillati; Bacillota; Bacilli; Lactobacillales; Lactobacillaceae. The record is from RNAcentral.
ACGCUGGCGGCGUGCCUAAUACAUGCAAGUCGAACGCACAGCGAAAGGUGCUUGCACCUUUCAAGUGAGUGGCGAACGGGUGAGUAACACGUGGACAACCUGCCUCAAGGCUGGGGAUAACAUUUGGAAACAGAUGCUAAUACCGAAUAAAACUUAGUGUCGCAUGACACAAAGUUAAAAGGCGCUUCGGCGUCACCUAGAGAUGGAUCCGCGGUGCAUUAGUUAGUUGGUGGGGUAAAGGCCUACCAAGACAAUGAUGCAUAGCCGAGUUGAGAGACUGAUCGGCCACAUUGGGACUGAGACACGGCCCAAACUCCUACGGGAGGCUGCAGUAGGGAAUCUUCCACAAUGGGCGAAAGCCUGAUGGAGCAACGCCGCGUGUGUGAUGAAGGCUUUCGGGUCGUAAAGCACUGUUGUAUGGGAAGAACAGCUAGAAUAGGAAAUGAUUUUAGUUUGACGGUACCAUACCAGAAAGGGACGGCUAAAUACGUGCCAGCAGCCGCGGUAAUACGUAUGUCCCGAGCGUUAUCCGGAUUUAUUGGGCGUAAAGCGAGCGCAGACGGUUUAUUAAGUCUGAUGUGAAAGCCCGGAGCUCAACUCCGGAAUGGCAUUGGAAACUGGUUAACUUGAGUGCAGUAGAGGUAAGUGGAACUCCAUGUGUAGCGGUGGAAUGCGUAGAUAUAUGGAAGAACACCAGUGGCGAAGGCGGCUUACUGGACUGCAACUGACGUUGAGGCUCGAAAGUGUGGGUAGCAAACAGGAUUAGAUACCCUGGUAGUCCACACCGUAAACGAUGAACACUAGGUGUUAGGAGGUUUCCGCCUCUUAGUGCCGAAGCUAACGCAUUAAGUGUUCCGCCUGGGGAGUACGACCGCAAGGUUGAAACUCAAAGGAAUUGACGGGGACCCGCACAAGCGGUGGAGCAUGUGGUUUAAUUCGAAGCAACGCGAAGAACCUUACCAGGUCUUGACAUCCUUUGAAGCUUUUAGAGAUAGAAGUGUUCUCUUCGGAGACAAAGUGACAGGUGGUGCAUGGUCGUCGUCAGCUCGUGUCGUGAGAUGUUGGGUUAAGUCCCGCAACGAGCGCAACCCUUAUUGUUAGUUGCCAGCAUUCAGAUGGGCACUCUAGCGAGACUGCCGGUGACAAACCGGAGGAAGGCGGGGACGACGUCAGAUCAUCAUGCCCCUUAUGACCUGGGCUACACACGUGCUACAAUGGCGUAUACAACGAGUUGCCAACCCGCGAGGGUGAGCUAAUCUCUUAAAGUACGUCUCAGUUCGGAUUGUAGUCUGCAACUCGACUACAUGAAGUCGGAAUCGCUAGUAAUCGCGGAUCAGCACGCCGCGGUGAAUACGUUCCCGGGUCUUGUACACACCGCCCGUCACACCAUGGGAGUUUGUAAUGCCCAAAGCCGGUGGCCUAACCUUUUAGGAAGGAGCCGUCUAAGGCAGGACAGAUGACUGGGGUGAA